AUGGUCCUACGGGACGCAGCAGUGGGGGAUAUUGCACAAUGGGGGGAGCCCUGAUGCAGCGACGCCGCGUGGGUGAAGGAGCGUUUCGGCGCGUAAAGCCCUAUCGGCAGGGAAGAAGAUGACGGUACCUGACCAAGAAGCCCCGGCUAACUACGUGCCAGCAGCCGCGGCAAUACGUAGGGGGCAAGCGUUAUCCGGAUUUACUGGGUGUAAAGGGGGCGCAGACGGCAAUGCAAGCCAGGCGUGAAAGCCCGGGGCCCAACCCCGGGACUGCCCUUGGAAC
Molecule: ribosomal RNA, 283 nt
Filed under: uncultured bacterium
Lineage: Bacteria
Description: partial 16S ribosomal RNA
Rfam family: Bacterial small subunit ribosomal RNA
Source: RNAcentral